CAACGAAUCUACACAAUGAUACUACAGACGAGCAUGAGGAACAUUCCAAAUAUCGGCGGGUAAUGAUACCCACCUCUCCAGGCGUGAUUCCUAGCAGCUUCGGUUGCCUCGUUACUCUGCCGAUCAGAUGUUAGGUAGCUAAAAUCAGAUGCUGCAUGGGUACAUAACCAACAACAAAGCAAAACUGCGGCAACAAUAAAAUAUUCGUUAACCGAUCACAUAGGCGUGCUGAUAUGCUUGAUAAGUAUGGCCAUACCCUUAACAAAAGUACUUACGGGUUUGAACUUACAGGGAGUAAUGUAG
Photinus pyralis (common eastern firefly) is the source of this 303-nucleotide long non-coding RNA. RefSeq lists it as uncharacterized. The transcript is spliced from 3 exons. The record is from RefSeq and is a predicted model, not a curated record. Lineage: Eukaryota; Metazoa; Arthropoda; Insecta; Coleoptera; Lampyridae.